Molecule: ribosomal RNA, 253 nt
Filed under: uncultured bacterium
Lineage: Bacteria
Description: partial 16S ribosomal RNA
Rfam family: Bacterial small subunit ribosomal RNA
Source: RNAcentral
UACGGAGGGGGCUAGCGUUGUUCGGAAUUACUGGGCGUAAAGCGCACGUAGGCGGCUUUGUAAGUUAGAGGUGAAAGCCUGGUGCUCAACACCAGAAUUGCCUUUAAGACUGCAUCGCUUGAACGUCGGAGAGGUGAGUGGAAUUCCGAGUGUAGAGGUGAAAUUCGUAGAUAUUCGCAAGAACACCAGUGGCGAAGGCGGCUCACUGGCCCGAUACUGACGCUGAGGCACGAAGGUCAGGGGAGCAAACGGG